CAGAUCCGGACUCCUCCUCCUCUCUCCUAUAUCUCAAUCCCAAUCCCGACUCCUCCUCUCUCUCGUUUCUCAGUCGCGAUCUCGAAUCUCUCUCAACGCAGCUUGUUUUCUCCUCUCUUUCGGUUGCUCUCCUCAAACUUCUGUAGUUUCUGAUUGGGAUUCAAGGAUGACAAAUAAAGGGAAACAAAUUGCAUCUCAGUCGAGAUCAUAUGUUGUGUGGAAUCGUGAUAUGGACUUAGCUUUAGCUAAUGUGUUGUACGAUCAAAUGAACCAAGGAUUAAAAGUUGAUGGUACUUGGAAGCCUCAAGUGUAUCAAGUUGCGGUUGAUGCACUAAAAUCAUUUAAUAGCAACUUGAACAAAGAUAAUGUGAAGAAUCGACUCAAAAUUUGGAAAACACAUUAUAAUGUUAUCUAUGACAUUAAAAAUAAAAGUGGUUUGACGUGGUGGGAUGAUGAGAAGAAAAUGGUGAUUAUACCCGCUAGUGAGCAAAAAGUAUGGAGCGACUAUGUUACGGCUAAUCCAGAUGCAAAAGGCUACUAGAAUUGUUUGAUUGAAAAUUGGGAUGACAUUAUGGUAUUAUGUGCAAAAGAUAGAGCCAAUGGUGAAGGUGCAGAAACCUUUGAAGAGGCUGCUAACGCAAUGCAACAUGAGGAAUUUGAAGCACAAUCUGAAACAAAUGAAGGUGGAAGCUCUUCAAAGAAACAUCUUCCUAGAGCAUCAACUAGUGGUGAGAUAAGUUCAAAGAAACAAAAAAAAGGGAUAAAAUGGCUGAUUCACUUGCAGUGAUGGCAGCUUCUAUGAGUGAGUAUUUUAAUGAGAGAAAGAAGGAACUAGUAAGAAAACCACCAAUCGGAGAGGAGAUUCAUCAAGUGGUCUCAAAAAUACCCAACUUAAGUCGCAUUCAAGUGUUCAAUGCAUUUGAGAAGAUAAUGGAUAGCAACCCGGAAAAGUUUUAUUUGUUGAAGUCACUUCCUGAUGAUGAAAAAAGAGUUUUUAUUCUCUUUAUUCUUAAGGAGUAGUUUCUAGUUGGAUAACAAGAACCCCCAAAUCUUUGAACCCAUUUGAGUAAUUCAAGCAAGGAGUGAUUGUCUCAUCUUGAAGGUUUUAGGCUUAUAUAGUGAUGUCAUAUGAAUUACUCUUUUGUUGCUGCGGAUAGGGUUUAUCAUAUAGUGAUGGCACUUCUGAAUUCUCAGUUGUAAUUUCUUUAUAUCGAGGAUAAUUCUCUUCUCACAUGCUAUUCAGUUUGCAACUCUUUGUAUUUUUUUCUUAUUAACAUUUCUCUUGGUAUAUCAAAGAUCAAAUUGACUAUGUAAUUGUCAGUUGUACCUGCAUUUGAGAAGAUAAUGGAAUUGUUACUUAUUUGCUCUGAA
Molecule: long non-coding RNA, 1371 nt
Organism: Asparagus officinalis (garden asparagus)
Lineage: Eukaryota; Viridiplantae; Streptophyta; Magnoliopsida; Asparagales; Asparagaceae
Exons: 6
Source: RefSeq, a predicted model, not a curated record